Molecule: long non-coding RNA, 595 nt
Organism: Oncorhynchus nerka (sockeye salmon)
Lineage: Eukaryota; Metazoa; Chordata; Actinopteri; Salmoniformes; Salmonidae
Exons: 3
Source: RefSeq, a predicted model, not a curated record
GCGUGGUUUGAUAAGGGUCGGCCUGACAUCCUCAUCUCAUAGUCUACCUACGCCACCACCUCCCGUGACUCAGGGAAAGGGACUUCCUGAAGAAAGUACAUGAGACAGUGGAGAGAGGAGGAAAGGUUCUGAUGCCAGUCUUUGCCCUGGGAAGAGCUCAGGAACUGUGCAUUCUAUUGGAAACAUUCUGGGGAGCGGAUGAACAUGAAGGCCCCCCAUCUACUUCUCCACAGGGCUCACAGAGAAAGCCAAUCACCUCUACAAACUCUUCAUCACCUGGACCGAUCAGAAAAACCUUUGAACAGAGAAACACGUUUGAGUUCAAACGCAUCAAGGCCUUUGAUCGCUCCUACGCAGACAACCAAGGACCAAUGGGGCAGAAACAUCAUAUUUUUGUAUGCUACUACUAUAACAUUACCUUACAGUUGCAAAAGUUGAAUGUAUGUUUAGGCAUUGAUAUGCUUUAGAUACAGACAAUUCCAAUAAUUUGUCCAUUAUAGAUACUAUUCUUCUUACCCCAGUGAAUAUUCUACAUAGUCACUGUAGACCCGUUAUUAUUAGGUUUAUCCAUUAAAUUGUGUUGGAGCAGACAGUG